Molecule: ribosomal RNA, 232 nt
Filed under: uncultured bacterium
Lineage: Bacteria
Description: partial 16S ribosomal RNA
Rfam family: Bacterial small subunit ribosomal RNA
Source: RNAcentral
UACGUAGGGGGUCGAGCGUUGUCCGGAUUCAUUGGGCGUAAAGAGCUCGUAGGCGGUUCAGUAAGUCAGGUGUGAAAUCUCCGCGCUCAACGCGGAGCGGCCACCUGAUACUGCUGUGACUCGAGUCCGGUAGGGGAGUGUGGAAUUCCGGGUGUAGCGGUGGAAUGCGUAGAGAUCCGGAAGAACACCAGUGGCGAAGGCGGCCCGCUGGGCAGUGGCUGACGCUGGAGGC